GCCCCAGUGGUCUAGUAGUAUGAUACCUCCUUCGGGAAUCCCGGAGCAUUCUGAUGCUUCUGUAUGGAGGUGGUCCUGGGUUCAAUUCCCAGCUGAGGCC
Molecule: non-coding RNA, 100 nt
Organism: Blastosporella zonata
Lineage: Eukaryota; Fungi; Basidiomycota; Agaricomycetes; Agaricales; Lyophyllaceae
Source: the annotation of a GenBank genome assembly